RNAcentral lists this ribosomal RNA (1480 nucleotides) under Lactiplantibacillus plantarum. RNAcentral describes it as "bacterial SSU rRNA". It matches the Rfam family "Bacterial small subunit ribosomal RNA". Lineage: Bacteria; Bacillati; Bacillota; Bacilli; Lactobacillales; Lactobacillaceae. The record is from RNAcentral.
UGGGGGGGCGGGCGGGGUGCCCUAUACAUGCAAGUCGAACGAACUCUGGUAUUGAUUGGUGCUUGCAUCAUGAUUUACAUUUGAGUGAGUGGCGAACUGGUGAGUAACACGUGGGAAACCUGCCCAGAAGCGGGGGAUAACACCUGGAAACAGAUGCUAAUACCGCAUAACAACUUGGACCGCAUGGUCCGAGUUUGAAAGAUGGCUUCGGCUAUCACUUUUGGAUGGUCCCGCGGCGUAUUAGCUAGAUGGUGGGGUAACGGCUCACCAUGGCAAUGAUACGUAGCCGACCUGAGAGGGUAAUCGGCCACAUUGGGACUGAGACACGGCCCAAACUCCUACGGGAGGCAGCAGUAGGGAAUCUUCCACAAUGGACGAAAGUCUGAUGGAGCAACGCCGCGUGAGUGAAGAAGGGUUUCGGCUCGUAAAACUCUGUUGUUAAAGAAGAACAUAUCUGAGAGUAACUGUUCAGGUAUUGACGGUAUUUAACCAGAAAGCCACGGCUAACUACGUGCCAGCAGCCGCGGUAAUACGUAGGUGGCAAGCGUUGUCCGGAUUUAUUGGGCGUAAAGCGAGCGCAGGCGGUUUUUUAAGUCUGAUGUGAAAGCCUUCGGCUCAACCGAAGAAGUGCAUCGGAAACUGGGAAACUUGAGUGCAGAAGAGGACAGUGGAACUCCAUGUGUAGCGGUGAAAUGCGUAGAUAUAUGGAAGAACACCAGUGGCGAAGGCGGCUGUCUGGUCUGUAACUGACGCUGAGGCUCGAAAGUAUGGGUAGCAAACAGGAUUAGAUACCCUGGUAGUCCAUACCGUAAACGAUGAAUGCUAAGUGUUGGAGGGUUUCCGCCCUUCAGUGCUGCAGCUAACGCAUUAAGCAUUCCGCCUGGGGAGUACGGCCGCAAGGCUGAAACUCAAAGGAAUUGACGGGGGCCCGCACAAGCGGUGGAGCAUGUGGUUUAAUUCGAAGCUACGCGAAGAACCUUACCAGGUCUUGACAUACUAUGCAAAUCUAAGAGAUUAGACGUUCCCUUCGGGGACAUGGAUACAGGUGGUGCAUGGUUGUCGUCAGCUCGUGUCGUGAGAUGUUGGGUUAAGUCCCGCAACGAGCGCAACCCUUAUUAUCAGUUGCCAGCAUUAAGUUGGGCACUCUGGUGAGACUGCCGGUGACAAACCGGAGGAAGGUGGGGAUGACGUCAAAUCAUCAUGCCCCUUAUGACCUGGGCUACACACGUGCUACAAUGGAUGGUACAACGAGUUGCGAACUCGCGAGAGUAAGCUAAUCUCUUAAAGCCAUUCUCAGUUCGGAUUGUAGGCUGCAACUCGCCUACAUGAAGUCGGAAUCGCUAGUAAUCGCGGAUCAGCAUGCCGCGGUGAAUACGUUCCCGGGCCUUGUACACACCGCCCGUCACACCAUGAGAGUUUGUAACACCCAAAGUCGGUGGGGUAACCUUUUAGGAACCAGCCGCCUAAGGGGAACCAAAAG